RNAcentral lists this ribosomal RNA (479 nucleotides) under uncultured Burkholderia sp. Its description in RNAcentral is "bacterial SSU rRNA". It matches the Rfam family "Bacterial small subunit ribosomal RNA", at positions 369 to 835 of the family's 1533-position model. Lineage: Bacteria; Pseudomonadati; Pseudomonadota; Betaproteobacteria; Burkholderiales; Burkholderiaceae. The record is from RNAcentral.
AAAGGGGCAAAUGCGAGCCUGAUCAGCAAUGCCGCGUGUGUGAAGAAGGCCUUCGGGUUGUAAAGCACUUUUGUCCGGAAAGAAAUCCUCUGUGGUUAAUACCUCGGGGGGAUGACGGUACCGGAAGAAUAAGCACCGGCUAACUACGUGCCAGCAGCCGCGGUAAUACGUAGGGUGCGAGCGUUAAUCGGAAUUACUGGGCGUAAAGCGUGCGCAGGCGGUUUGCUAAGACCGAUGUGAAAUCCCCGGGCUUAACCUGGGAACUGCAUUGGUGACUGGCAGGCUUAGAGUGUGGCAGAGGGGGGUAGAAUUCCACGUGUAGCAGUGAAAUGCGUAGAGAUGUGGAGGAAUACCGAUGGCGAAGGCAGCCCCCUGGGCUAACACUGACGCUCAUGCACGAAAGCGUGGGGAGCAAACAGGAUUAGAUACCCUGGUAGUCCACGCCCUAAACGAUGUCAACUAGUUGUUGGGGAGUUUUU